This 600-nucleotide ribosomal RNA is filed under the name uncultured Microgenomates group bacterium. RNAcentral describes it as "bacterial SSU rRNA". It matches the Rfam family "Bacterial small subunit ribosomal RNA", at positions 879 to 1498 of the family's 1533-position model. The record is from RNAcentral.
AGUACGAACGCAAGUUUAAAACUCAAAGGAAUUGACGGGGACCCGCACAACCAGUGGAGCAUGUGGUUUAAUUCGAGACGAACCGAAGAACCUUACCUGGACUUGACAUGCUACUUAUUAGUUUUGCAGAGAUGUGAGACGAUCCUGCAUUUGUAGGAAGGUAGCACAGGUGUUGCAUGGCUGUCGUCAGCUCGUGCCGUGGGGUGUUCCCUUCAGUGGGGUAACGAGCGCAACCCUUGCCGUAUGUUAAAUAUUCAUACGGGACAAUCGAGUAUUUCUCGGAGGAAGUGGGGACGACGUCAAGUCAGCAUGGCCCUUAUGUCCAGGGCAACACACAUGCUACAAUGGAGCCGACAAUGGGUUGCCAAGCAGUAAUGCGGAGCUAAUCCCAUCAAACGGCUUCUCAGUAGGGAUUGAGGGCUGCAACUCGCCCUCAUGAACGUGGAAUUGGUAGUAAUCGCGAAUCAGCUAUGUCGCGGUGAAUACGUUCUCGGGUCUUGUACACACCGCCCGUCAAGUCAGCAAAGUUGGAGGCACCCGAACCUCGUAUAUUACGAGGGAAGGUGAAAUCAGCGAUGAGGAUUAAGUCGUAACAAGGUA